This is a non-coding RNA of Triticum urartu, 135 nucleotides long. The record is from Rfam. Lineage: Eukaryota; Viridiplantae; Streptophyta; Magnoliopsida; Poales; Poaceae.
AAGGGGUUGUCUUGAUCCGAAAAUACUUGUCAUCAAGAUGGAUAAAAAGAGAUAUAUUUAGAACUAAAAUACAUCUAGAUAUAUCCUCUUUUAUUUAUUUUCAUGAUAAAUAUUUCCGGACAAAGGAAGUAGUAC